This 296-nucleotide ribosomal RNA is filed under the name uncultured bacterium. RNAcentral's name for it is "partial 16S ribosomal RNA". It matches the Rfam family "Bacterial small subunit ribosomal RNA", at positions 1081 to 1378 of the family's 1533-position model. The record is from RNAcentral.
GUAGUCCGCACGAGCGCACCCUCGUUCCUGUUGCCAGCACGUAAUGGUGGGGACUCAUGGGAGACUGCCGGGGUCAACUCGGAGGAAGGUGAGGACGACGUCAAAUCAUCAUGCCCCUUAUGUCUUGGGCUUCACGCAUGCUACAAUGGCCGGUACAAUGGGUUGCGAUACUGUGAGGUGGAGCUAAUCCCAAAAAGCCGGUCUCAGUUCGGAUUGGGGUCUGCAACUCGACCCCAUGAAGUCGGAGUCGCUAGUAAUCGCAAAUCAGCAACGCUGCGGUGAACAAGUUCCCGGGA